Transfer RNA from Penicillium coprophilum, 126 nucleotides. It matches the Rfam family "tRNA". Rfam says of the family: Transfer RNA (tRNA) molecules are approximately 80 nucleotides in length. The record is from Rfam. Lineage: Eukaryota; Fungi; Ascomycota; Eurotiomycetes; Eurotiales; Aspergillaceae.
GCCUUCGUGGUCUAGUUGGUUAUGACGUCGGUCUCAUAUCCCUUCAAACCUGUUAAGGUUUCAUAUGACAUUCUUGGUAACAAGAUUGACAUCCGAAGGUCUCCAGUUCGAACCUGGACGAGGGCA